UCAGCCAAGGGAGUGAGCUCACUCACAAUUUUGCCUAAGAACACAGCCAUGUAUACAGAAUGGUACAAAAACAUCCCUUGGGAGCAACUUCACCUAACAUCCAAGAACUGUUGGUGACAAACAAUGCCUUUUUCAGCAUGAUGGCGCACCUUGCCAUAAGGCAAAAGUCAAAACUAAGUGGCUUGGGGAACAAAACAUCGGUCAAUGGCCAGGAAACUACCCAGGCUUUAAUCUAUUAAGAACUUGUGGUGAAUCUUUAAGAGGUGGAUGCACAAAAAAAAAAUUCUGACAAAUUGCAGGUAUUGAUUAUGCAAAAAUGGGCUGCCAUCAGUCAGGAUGUGGCCCAUAAGUUGAUAGCAUGCCAGGGCGAAUUGCGGAGGUCUUGAAAAAGAGGGGUCAACACUGCAAAUAUUGACUCUUUGCAUAAACGUAAUGUAAUUGUCAAUUAAAGCCUUUAAAGCCUUUGACACAUAUGCUUGUAAUUAUACUUCUGUAUACCAUAGUAACAUCUGACCUAAAAAAAAAUCUAAAAACACUGAAGCAGCAGACUUUGAAAAUUUGUAUUCGUCAUUCUCAAAACAUUUGGCCAGGGGCUGUACUUCAAGCUCAUUUUGCAUUUCAAUGGUACAGUAUUGGGUAUGCAAAACUUGGCUGACGUGAAAAAAAGCCUAUCAACACCAGUCCAAAAUUUUUUUCUCUAAAUGUGUUUUUUUUUUUUUGUUUUUUUUUUUUAUAAAGCAUGCUCAAGAUAUUUGAAAUUACUUUUUUGAUCAUUAAGAAU
This is a long non-coding RNA of Rana temporaria (common frog), 781 nucleotides long. RefSeq lists it as uncharacterized. NCBI's taxonomy places the organism in Eukaryota, Metazoa, Chordata, Amphibia, Anura, Ranidae. The record is from RefSeq and is a predicted model, not a curated record. The transcript has 2 exons.